AUUGAACGCUGGCGGCAUGCCUUACACAUGCAAGUCGAACGGCAGCGCGGGAGCAAUCCUGGCGGCGAGUGGCGAACGGGUGAGUAAUAUAUCGGAACGUGCCCUGUAGCGGGGGAUAACCUAUCGAAAGAUGGACUAAUACCGCAUACGCUCUACGGAGGAAAGCGGGGGUCGCAAGACCUCGCACUAUAGGAGCGGCCGAUAUCGGAUUAGCUAGUUGGCGGGGAAAAGCCCACCAAGGCGACGAUCCGUAGCUGGUCUGAGAGGAUGAUCAGCCACACUGGAACUGAGACACGGUCCAGACUCCUACGGGAGGCAGCAGUGGGAAUUUGGACAAUGGGCGCAAGCCUGAUCCAGCCAUGCCGCGUGAGUGAAGAAGGCC
Molecule: ribosomal RNA, 382 nt
Filed under: uncultured bacterium
Lineage: Bacteria
Description: bacterial SSU rRNA
Rfam family: Bacterial small subunit ribosomal RNA
Source: RNAcentral